Molecule: long non-coding RNA, 893 nt
Organism: Sapajus apella (tufted capuchin)
Lineage: Eukaryota; Metazoa; Chordata; Mammalia; Primates; Cebidae
Exons: 2
Source: RefSeq, a predicted model, not a curated record
UGAGUUGAGCUUGUUUUGUUAGACCCUUCACAUUCUGGCCUAGUCUUUCUUUGUUUUACUUAUACUAACUAAUUUAACCAGAUUACUCCAUUCACUUUCUUAAACAGGCCUAUGUUUUCCUGGCUCUGCUGUAUUCAUACUGUUAAGCUUUAACAUCUUCCCUUUUGUACAUAUGGUCUUGGUCAAUCCUCAAUAACAGACUAACAAUCUUGUAAAUGAAACAGGGUAGGAGUUUUUAUUAGAAGGCUUGAUUUAAGAGGGGGCUUGGGAGUCAGAUGGCUUAGUUUUAAAUUCCAGCUCCAAUGUUUGUUUUCUAUGUGAUCUUAUGCUAUAAAUUGAUGUUAAUAGUAUGUACCUCACAGGAAGAUACAAGUGGGUAAUUCAUGUAAAACACUUAACAUGGUUCCUGCUACAUAGUGAACAUAGUAUUUAAAGGUAAAGUUUAGGAGUUGACCUAAACUUGUUUUCUGAAUCUGCUCAUAUUUUUGCCACUUACAAAAAACUGUUGUAUUAGAAAGUGAAAAGUAUCAACCUCUUUAAGACUUGAUUUGGUAUUAAAAUUGGAAUUUCAUGUUAAUUUAAAAGAUUAUUCUACUUUCUGUUGAACUGGAAAAUUUCUAAAGGAAUUUCUUGCUUGUUUUAGGCCUAUAGUUUGAAUACAGGUAAUGUGUUAAGAAUCUGGGACAUAUAUGUUAACUAAAGCAUAGUUCUUGCCCUUAGGGACUAUGAAUAUUUUUAACAAUGUAAGAGUUUAAUGACUUCCAAUAUUUUCCUGUUUCUGAUAUUUUUCUCAAUUAUUUUAGUCAUUAGAGUUAGUUAAGUUAGUUAAAUAAGGUGCUUUAUCCUAGGUCCUGGUUUUCAAAAUGAAUUUGAUCCUAGAAAGUGUUUCUUUA